GCUAGAAUAGAAGCUGCAUCUAUCGCUUGCGCGGGCGGCGGACGGAGUCCAUCUCAUCUCGCCUCGCCGCGCCGCAAUUUCCUCUCCCAGCUCCCAAUAAUUUAUUGGUUUGUUCGAUCGAUCGAUCGCUCGCUCGCCGUAGCCAGGUGAGGUGUUCUCGAAUCGAUUGAUCGGCCUCUUCAACAAGAGAAGAUCUAGAGCGAGGAAAUUAAGAUUAAGAUUAAGAUUUCGGAGGAUAUUAAUUAAUUAAUUAAUUAUGCCUCGAGCUGGGGAUCGAGAUUCGGAUCCGUUUGCUAGAGUGAUUUUUGAGUUGGGUUGGAUUGGUGUCAUGAUCGCAACAGGCUACGUUCAACGGGAUAUCAUGGAGAAUGACUAUGAGAGAGUAUCGCUUAGCCGCUCUGAGUUGUUCAAGCUUGGCACCUUGUACUACGCUGGAUGCGCUGGGCUGGGAGGUAACCUCUUCUACUGGUUUAUGGAUGUCAUCGACUCACCCGGUGCCCGCCCCUGGAUCAAUACACGGAGGUAGCACUAGGUUGUAUAUAUAUAUUCAAUUAAUUAUGCAUCAAAAGAGACCAUUCAUAGCAAUUACUAAUGCAUGAGUAGUAUUCACGUA
This is a long non-coding RNA of Oryza sativa Japonica Group (Japanese rice), 613 nucleotides long. RefSeq lists it as uncharacterized. Lineage: Eukaryota; Viridiplantae; Streptophyta; Magnoliopsida; Poales; Poaceae. The record is from RefSeq and is a predicted model, not a curated record.